RNAcentral lists this long non-coding RNA (263 nucleotides) under Lathyrus oleraceus (garden pea). RNAcentral describes it as "Pisum sativum (pea) long non-coding RNA (PSAT_LNC002492)". Lineage: Eukaryota; Viridiplantae; Streptophyta; Magnoliopsida; Fabales; Fabaceae. The record is from RNAcentral.
AUCCACCAAUCCCCACUACAGGUGUAUAACUUCCGAUCGUCAAGCUAACGACGUUAAACAAGCGUUGCUUGGGAGGCAACCCAUGGUUUUUUAUUUUAUUUUACUUUUUUGCAUUUACUUUAUUUUAUUUUAUUUUUAUUUUUAUCAUAUUUUCAUCGAGACUAAAUAUUUGAAUGGUUUGUAUUUUCAGGAUCCCUUUUCCUAACUUUUACAGGAUGCAGGACUUCGACGAUAUGCACGUAGCCUAUAGAGAUGAUGCUCAG